CCUACGGGAGGCAGCAGUGGGGAAUAUUGCGCAAUGGGGGAAACCCUGACGCAGCGACGCCGCGUGGGUGAUGAAGGCCUUCGGGUCGUAAAGCCCUGUCGGAGGGGACGAACGACUGCCGCGCGAAUAGUGCGGUGAUCUGACGGUACCCUCAAAGGAAGCACCGGCUAACUCCGUGCCAGCAGCCGCGGUAAUACGGAGGGUGCAAGCGUUGCUCGGAAUCACUGGGCGUAAAGGGCGUGUAGGCGGCUUCGUGUGUCUGACGUGAAAGCCCCGGGCUCACCCCGGGAAGUGCGUUGGAAACUGCGGAGCUAGAGUCCCGGAGAGGGAGGUGGAAUUCCAGGUGUAGCGGUGAAAUGCGUAGAUAUCUGGAAGAACACCGGUGGCGAAGGCGGCCUCCUGGACGGUGACUGACGCUGAGACGCGAAAGCGUGGGGAGC
RNAcentral lists this ribosomal RNA (440 nucleotides) under uncultured bacterium. Its description in RNAcentral is "bacterial SSU rRNA". It matches the Rfam family "Bacterial small subunit ribosomal RNA", at positions 338 to 769 of the family's 1533-position model. The record is from RNAcentral.